CGGGGUGGUUUUUAGUCAG
Molecule: microRNA, 19 nt
Filed under: Spodoptera frugiperda (fall armyworm)
Lineage: Eukaryota; Metazoa; Arthropoda; Insecta; Lepidoptera; Noctuidae
Description: sfr-miR-10493-3p
Source: miRBase by way of RNAcentral